AAACUAAAUGGCUGCAGUAACUAUGACUGUAUGAAUGUAGCAUAAUCACUCGUUACUUAAAUAGUGGGUAGUAUGAAUGGUUAAACGAAAAUUUCUGUCUUUUAUAUUACAUAAUUAAUCAAUAAUUCAAUAAAAGAUAGGUAGUUUCAUUGGGGCGAUGGUCUCUAAAAAAUAACAGAGAUAAACUAUAUUAACAACAAAAAUUUAAUGUUUAAUUAAUAAAUUUAACAGUUACUAAGUAGGUUAUAAAGACCCAUUAUUAUCUAUAAAAAUAAGUAAUGAUCGAAAAAUAAAAGCUACUUAAGGGGUAACAGGAUAAUAUUUUCUGAGAGUCCUUAUCAAAGAAAAACAUUAUCACCUUGAUGUUGAAUUAAGAU
RNAcentral lists this ribosomal RNA (377 nucleotides) under Macrorhynchia phoenicea. Its description in RNAcentral is "partial 16S ribosomal RNA". The record is from RNAcentral. Lineage: Eukaryota; Metazoa; Cnidaria; Hydrozoa; Leptothecata; Aglaopheniidae.